RNAcentral lists this ribosomal RNA (460 nucleotides) under uncultured bacterium. Its description in RNAcentral is "partial 16S ribosomal RNA". It matches the Rfam family "Bacterial small subunit ribosomal RNA", at positions 338 to 795 of the family's 1533-position model. The record is from RNAcentral.
CCUACGGGAGGCAGCAGUGAGGAAUAUUGGUCAAUGGGCGCGAGCCUGAACCAGCCAAGUAGCGUGAAGGAUGACUGCCCUAUGGGUUGUAAACUUCUUUUAUAUGGGAAUAAAGUGCAGUAUGUAUACUGCUUUGCAUGUACCUUAUGAAUAAGGAUCGGCUAACUCCGUGCCAGCAGCCGCGGUAAUACGGAGGAUUCGAGCGUUAUCCGGAUUUAUUGGGUUUAAAGGGAGCGUAGGCGGGUUGUUAAGUCAGUUGUGAAAGUUUGUGGCUCAACCGUAAAAUUGCAGUUGAUACUGGCAACCGUGAGUACAGUAGAGGUAGGCGGAAUUCGUGGUGUAGCGGUGAAAUGCUUAGAUAUCACGAAGAACUCCGAUUGCGAAGGCAGCCUGCUGGACUGUAACUGACGCUGAUGCUCGAAAGUGUGGGGAUCAAACAGGAUUAGAUACCCUUGUAGUC